RNAcentral lists this unclassified non-coding RNA (277 nucleotides) under Ganoderma lucidum. RNAcentral describes it as "partial internal transcribed spacer region". The stretch from base 1 to 46 matches the Rfam family "Eukaryotic small subunit ribosomal RNA", at positions 1786 to 1831 of the family's 1831-position model. The record is from RNAcentral. Lineage: Eukaryota; Fungi; Basidiomycota; Agaricomycetes; Polyporales; Polyporaceae.
AAGUCGUAACAAGGUUUCCGUAGGUGAACCUGCGGAAGGAUCAUUAUCGAGUUUUGACUGGGUUGUAGCUGGCCUCCCGAGGCAUGUGCACGCCCUGCUCAUCCACUCUACACCUGUGCACUUACUGUGAGCUUCAGACGUCGUGAAGCGGGCUCUUUACGGAGCUUGUAGAGCGUGUCUGUGCCUGCGUUUACCACAAACUCUAUAAAGUAUUAGAAUGUGUAUUGCGAUGUAACGCAUCUAUGUACAACUUUCAGCAACGGAUCUCUUGGCUCUC